GAUGAACGCUGGCGGCGUGCUUAACACAUGCAAGUCGAACGAUGAAGCCCAGCUUGCUGGGUGGAUUAGUGGCGAACGGGUGAGUAACACGUGAGUAACCUGCCCUUAACUCUGGGAUAAGCCUGGGAAACUGGGUCUAAUACCGGAUAGGAGCGUCCACCGCAUGGUGGGUGUUGGAGAGAUUUAUCGGUUUUGGAUGGACUCGCGGCCUAUCAGCUUGUUGGUGAGGUAAUGGCUCACCAAGGCGACGACGGGUAGCCGGCCUGAGAGGGUGACCGGCCACACUGGGACUGAGAGACGGCCCAGACUCCUACGGGAGGCAGCAGUGGGGAAUAUUGCACAAUGGGCGAAAGCCUGAUGCAGAGACGCCGCGUGAGGGAUGACGGCCUUCGGGUUGUAAACCUCUUUCAGUAGGGAAGAAGCGAAAGUGACGGUACCUGCAGAAGAAGCACCGGCUAACUACGUG
Molecule: ribosomal RNA, 466 nt
Filed under: uncultured bacterium
Lineage: Bacteria
Description: partial 16S ribosomal RNA
Rfam family: Bacterial small subunit ribosomal RNA
Source: RNAcentral